This 205-nucleotide ribosomal RNA is filed under the name uncultured bacterium. Its description in RNAcentral is "partial 16S ribosomal RNA". It matches the Rfam family "Bacterial small subunit ribosomal RNA", at positions 568 to 774 of the family's 1533-position model. The record is from RNAcentral.
AGCGCAGACGGUUUAUUAAGUCUGAUGUGAAAGCCCGGAGCUCAACUCCGGAAUGGCAUUGGAAACUGGUUAACUUGAGUGCAGUAGAGGUAAGUGGAACUCCAUGUGUAGCGGUGGAAUGCGUAGAUAUAUGGAAGAACACCAGUGGCGAAGGCGGCUUACUGGACUGCAACUGACGUUGAGGCUCAAAGUGUGGUAGCAAACA